Molecule: ribosomal RNA, 253 nt
Filed under: uncultured bacterium
Lineage: Bacteria
Description: partial 16S ribosomal RNA
Rfam family: Bacterial small subunit ribosomal RNA
Source: RNAcentral
UACGUAGGCAGCGAGCGUUGUUCGGAAUUACUGGGCGUAAAGAGUGUGUAGGCGGUGCUCUAAGUUCGGUGUGAAAUCUCCUGGCUUAACUGGGAGGGUGCGCCGGAAACUGGAGUGCUCGAACGUGGGAGAGGAAAGCGGAAUUCCUGGUGUAGCGGUGAAAUGCGUAGAUAUCAGGAGGAACACCGGUGGCGAAGGCGGGUCUCUGGGCCGAAACUGACGCUGAGGAGCGAAAGCGUGGGGAGCAAACAGG